RNAcentral lists this ribosomal RNA (514 nucleotides) under uncultured bacterium. Its description in RNAcentral is "partial 16S ribosomal RNA". It matches the Rfam family "Bacterial small subunit ribosomal RNA", at positions 28 to 523 of the family's 1533-position model. The record is from RNAcentral.
GAUGAACGCUGGCGGCGUGCCUAAUACAUGCAAGUCGAGCGAACAGAUGAGAAGCUUGCUUCUCUGAUGUUAGCGGCGGACGGGUGAGUAACACGUGGGUAACCUACCUAUAAGACUGGGAUAACUCCGGGAAACCGGGGCUAAUACCGGAUAAUAUUUUGAACCGCAUGGUUCAAUAGUGUAAGACGGUUUCGGCUGUCACUUAUAGAUGGACCCGCGCCGUAUUAGCUAGUUGGUAAGGUAACGGCUUACCAAGGCGACGAUACGUAGGCGACCUGAGAGGGUGAUCGGCCACACUGGAACUGAGACACGGUCCAGACUCCUACGGGAGGCAGCAGUAGGGAAUCUUCCGCAAUGGGCGAAAGCCUGACGGAGCAACGCCGCGUGAGUGAUGAAGGUCUUCGGAUCGUAAAACUCUGUUGUUAGGGAAGAACAAAUUUGUUAGUAACUGAACAAGUCUUGACGGUACCUAACCAGAAAGCCACGGCUAACUACGUGCCAGCAGCCGCGGUAA